CUCUCUGUGCUUGCACUUUUGAUGAUCUCAAAGAGAAGCAAUCUUGUGAUUUGAGCCUGGAUCAUAGCAGGAGCUGAAGCCCGUUGGAAUCACUGGGUAGACUCAGAAGGAAAGGCUAACCUGGCAAAGACACAGAUCUCUAUAAGAAUCAUGAUGUUUCCAAGGCAGCACAUGGUUUGGGGAAAUUGGAGAGAAUACUCCCGAUGGAAAGGGAUAACAUCACAGCUGCCACAACAAUGCUAUCCAGUGAGCAAAUGUCGGAUGUUCAGAGGGACCAAGUCAUCUUGAUUAGAAUCGUGGAGGUAUGAGUUUCAAAGUGGAAUAAUCUCAUAUUUAAUAAAUUUGCAAUCUCUUCACAGUGCACUGGAAAAGGGAACAUGCUUAAAAUAAUUCCAGGGACUUGGCUCCUGGGCUUAUUCAGAUAUCGGAAUGAUUGUCAGGGACUGGUUUAUUGUCUUGCUAGGAUGAAGUAGAUGCUUUUAAAUCUCUUUUCUAUUGUGCAUGUCUGUGGGAACACAUGUUUGCUCUUCUUUUUCACCCAAAAUAUUAAAAAGCUGUUCAAAUUGCC
RNAcentral lists this long non-coding RNA (568 nucleotides) under Homo sapiens (human). Its description in RNAcentral is "LNC_000596". Lineage: Eukaryota; Metazoa; Chordata; Mammalia; Primates; Hominidae. The record is from RNAcentral.